Molecule: small nuclear RNA, 104 nt
Organism: Zalophus californianus (California sea lion)
Lineage: Eukaryota; Metazoa; Chordata; Mammalia; Carnivora; Otariidae
Source: Ensembl
GUGCUCAUUUCUACAGCACAUAUACUAAAAUUGGAAUGAUACAGGGAUUAGCAUGGCCCCUUUGUAAGGAUGACAUGCAAAUUCACGAAGCAUUCCACAUUUAA